AGGGAUUUCGGUCCUGAGUAUAGUGGCGCACGGGUGAGUAACACGUGAAUAAUCUACCUCCGAGUGGGGAAUAACCAAGAGAAAUCUUGGCUAAUACCGCAUAACACUUACGAGUCAAAGCAGCAAUGCGCUUGGAGAGGAGUUCGCGGCAGAUUAGUUAGUUGGCGGGGUAAUGGCCCACCAAGACGAUGAUCUGUAUCCGGCCUGAGAGGGCGCACGGACACACUGGAACUGAAACACGGUCCAGACUCCUAC
RNAcentral lists this ribosomal RNA (255 nucleotides) under uncultured Acidobacteriaceae bacterium. RNAcentral's name for it is "partial 16S ribosomal RNA". It matches the Rfam family "Bacterial small subunit ribosomal RNA", at positions 73 to 342 of the family's 1533-position model. Lineage: Bacteria; Pseudomonadati; Acidobacteriota; Terriglobia; Terriglobales; Acidobacteriaceae. The record is from RNAcentral.